This 468-nucleotide ribosomal RNA is filed under the name uncultured bacterium. Its description in RNAcentral is "partial 16S ribosomal RNA". It matches the Rfam family "Bacterial small subunit ribosomal RNA", at positions 28 to 507 of the family's 1533-position model. The record is from RNAcentral.
GACGAACGCUGGCGGCGUGCUUAACACAUGCAAGUCGAACGGAAAGGCCCUGCUUUUGUGGGGUGCUCGAGUGGCGAACGGGUGAGUAACACGUGAGUAACCUGCCCUUGACUUUGGGAUAACUUCAGGAAACUGGGGCUAAUACCGGGUAGGAGCUCCUGCUGCAUGGUGGGGGUUGGAAAGUUUCGGCGGUUGGGGAUGGACUCGCGGCUUAUCAGCUUGUUGGUGGGGUAGUGGCUUACCAAGGCUUUGACGGGUAGCCGACCUGAGAGGGUGACCGGCCACAUUGGGACUGAGAUACGGCCCAGACUCCUACGGGAGGCAGCAGUGGGGAAUAUUGCACAAUGGGCGGAAGCCUGAUGCAGCAACGCCGCGUGCGGGAUGACGGCCUUCGGGUUGUAAACCGCUUUCGCCUGUGACGAAGCGUGAGUGACGGUAAUGGGUAAAGAAGCACCGGCUAACUACGUG